Molecule: ribosomal RNA, 405 nt
Filed under: uncultured bacterium
Lineage: Bacteria
Description: partial 16S ribosomal RNA
Rfam family: Bacterial small subunit ribosomal RNA
Source: RNAcentral
AUUGAACGCUGGCGGGAUGCUUUACACAUGCAAGUCGAACGAGUGGCGGACGGGUGAGUAAUAUAGCGGACCGUGCCCAGUAGCGGGGGAUAACUACUCGAAAGAGUGGAUUAUACCGCAUUCUCAUGGAGGGGCCGAUAUCGGAUUAGCUAGUUGGUGGGGUAAAGGCUCACCAAGGACACGAUCCGUAGCUGGUUUGAGAGGACGACCAGCCACACUGGGACUGAGACACGGCCCAGACUCCUACGGGAGGCAGCAGUGGGGAAUUGUGGACAAUGGGGGAAACCCUGAUCCAGCCAUCCCGCGUGUAUGAGAAGGCCUUCGGGUUGUAAAGUACUUUUGGCAGAGAAGCGGUACCUGCAGAAUAAGCACCGGCUAACUACGUGCCAGCAGCCGCGGUAAUAC